This 253-nucleotide ribosomal RNA is filed under the name uncultured bacterium. Its description in RNAcentral is "partial 16S ribosomal RNA". It matches the Rfam family "Bacterial small subunit ribosomal RNA", at positions 524 to 776 of the family's 1533-position model. The record is from RNAcentral.
UACGUAGGGCGCAAGCGUUAUCCGGAAUUAUUGGGCGUAAAGAGCUCGUAGGCGGUUUGUCGCGUCUGCCGUGAAAGUCCGGGGCUCAACUCCGGAUCUGCGGUGGGUACGGGCAGACUAGAGUGCAGUAGGGGAGACUGGAAUUCCUGGUGUAGCGGUGAAAUGUGCAGAUAUCAGGAGGAACACCGAUGGCGAAGGCAGGUCUCUGGGCAUUAACUGACGCUGAGGAGCGAAAGCAUGGGGAGCGAACAGG